UCCUUAGUCAUUGGAAGAGCUAGUCAGCCUAUUGAGGUAGAAUUUCUAAGUGGGUAUCAGAUACUGCAAAACACCCACAGAAAACCUGGACCAUUUGUACUUCCUUUUAGCUCUACCAGCCAGAUGAGCUUUAUUAGCAAGGAGUCAUAAGGAUCAACAGAAAAGAACAGUGUCUGAAUACCAGUUUAUGCACGACAAAGGGAAGACUGUGCAGUCCUUGAAAAGAUUGAUGUGGUUAUACAAUAUCAUGGGUUCAAGUCCAGGACUUGAGCAAUUGCUCUUUUUGAUGUUACCUAGUUUGAUAUUGAACUCCUGAAGCUAGUCAACUCUGACUGAGGACCUGACACUUCUGAACACCUCAACCUCACAAAGUUGCUUCCAAGACUGGACAUACUUAACCUGGGAUUGCUGUUCAAUGAUCUAUAUUCAGGAAAGGAAACAAAAAAAGGAAAAGUCAGUCCAGGGCUCCAAAACCAACCCUCAGCUUGCAUAAUUGAAUGACAUCUGGCUGCUCACGUGAGAAGAGUUGCAGUGCUGCCGGAAUAGGGAGAAGGAUGGUUUCUCCUCUAAAUUCCUCGUAGGAGCAUUAACUUUCCAGGUCAAAAGAAGGAGAGAAACAAGGUUUAUAGGCACUCCCUUUUAAAAUUUAAGCCUUUACAUGAAUUGAUGCAAAGUGAAAUGAGCAGAACCAGAAGAACAUUAUACACAAUAACACAAAAUUGUAUGCUGCUAUAUACUGUGAAGACCAUUUUUCUCAGCAAUACAAUGAUCCAAGACAAUUCUGAAGAACUUACAAUGAAAGAUUCUAUUUAAAGAGAAAGAACUGGUAGAGCUUGAAUAUAGAUCAAAACAUAUUUUUU
This is a long non-coding RNA of Sarcophilus harrisii (Tasmanian devil), 860 nucleotides long. RefSeq lists it as uncharacterized. The transcript has 3 exons. Lineage: Eukaryota; Metazoa; Chordata; Mammalia; Dasyuromorphia; Dasyuridae. The record is from RefSeq and is a predicted model, not a curated record.